Molecule: ribosomal RNA, 253 nt
Filed under: uncultured bacterium
Lineage: Bacteria
Description: partial 16S ribosomal RNA
Rfam family: Bacterial small subunit ribosomal RNA
Source: RNAcentral
UACGUAGGGGGCGAGCGUUGUCCGGAUUUAUUGGGCGUAAAGAGCGUGUAGGCGGCCAAGCAGGUCCGCUGUGAAAACUCGAGGCUCAACCUCGAGACGUCGGUGGAAACCGUUUGGCUAGAGUCCGGGAGAGGUGAGUGGAACUGCGAGUGUAGAGGUGAAAUGCGUAGAUAUUGGGAGGAACACCAGUGGCGAAGGCGGCUCACUGGACCGGAACUGACGCUGAGGCGCGAAAGCGUGGGGAGCAAACAGG